Long non-coding RNA from Athene cunicularia (burrowing owl), 551 nucleotides. RefSeq lists it as uncharacterized. The transcript has 2 exons. The record is from RefSeq and is a predicted model, not a curated record. NCBI's taxonomy places the organism in Eukaryota, Metazoa, Chordata, Aves, Strigiformes, Strigidae.
AGUCACAAGACAUUUGCCUUUCAGAUUUACCAAAAAAGAAAACCAGUACCUCAAGGAGGAAGUUCCCUUCCGGCCUGUGGGGGUUUUGCUGCUGCCCAGGUUGAAUGUGCGCCUGCUUUCCAGCACUUUCUCCUGUAAGUGCUUUUUGCAGAAGUAGAGGCUGGAGUGACCAGAUGCUGCAUAUACUGAUGUCCUUGGUCGUUGUGUUGUUUGCUGAGUCGUUCUUCCAGAUCAGAGAAGUGGCAGCUGAAGUCUGAAUGUUUGACAGGCAGCAUUUUCUUGGCAGGAAUCUUACAAAGGACGGCAGACAUCACCAGUGCAGGCACAGGAGGAGCUCUCAGUGUGGUUGGCACUUAAUGAGCAUUUAAUGAGCAGGUCUUGGCUGAGAUUUUUGACUUGGCCUUGCACAUUGUUAGUGAGAGCGACUGUUCUUAUGACCCCACCGAGAGAGUUGUAGCUAGAAGAAGGGAGAAACGCCUGUCCAGUCCCUGUUCCAAUAAAUAAACCACAGUGAAGAAAAUAAAACAGAAACCAGCAUCUGGAAGAGCAAC